GACGAACGCUGGCGGCACGCUUAACACAUGCAAGUCGAACGAACUCUUCGGAGUGAGUGGCAGACGGGUUAGUAACACGUGGGAACCUACCCUUUAGUACGGAAUAACGUCGAGAAAUUGUCGCUAAUACCGUAUACGCCCUUCGGGGGAAAGAUUUAUCGCUAAAGGAUGGGCCCGCGGCAGAUUAGUUUGUUGGUGGGGUAAUGGCCUACCAAGACUACGAUCUGUAGCUGGUCUGAGAGGAUGAUCAGCAACACUGGAACUGAGACACGGUCCAGACUCCUACGGGAGGCAGCAGUGGGGAAUAUUGGACAAUGGGCGCAAGCCUGAUCCAGCGAUGCCGCGUGGAUGAUGAAGGCCCUAGGGUUGUAAAGUCCUUUCGAUGGUGAAGAUAAUGACGGUAGCCAUUAAAGAAGCCCCGGCUAAUUUCG
This 431-nucleotide ribosomal RNA is filed under the name uncultured Alphaproteobacteria bacterium. RNAcentral's name for it is "bacterial SSU rRNA". It matches the Rfam family "Bacterial small subunit ribosomal RNA", at positions 28 to 505 of the family's 1533-position model. The record is from RNAcentral. Lineage: Bacteria; Pseudomonadati; Pseudomonadota; Alphaproteobacteria.